Long non-coding RNA from Eucalyptus grandis, 575 nucleotides. RefSeq lists it as uncharacterized. Lineage: Eukaryota; Viridiplantae; Streptophyta; Magnoliopsida; Myrtales; Myrtaceae. The transcript has 2 exons. The record is from RefSeq and is a predicted model, not a curated record.
UUGGAUUCCACUCAGUAGAAUUCAUGUUAAGGUUUAUAGUCGGAUAAGGAUGGAGCACAUUUGCAUUAGGAUUCCACUCAGUAGAAUUCAGAGGAAGAUUCAGAAGGAAGCAGUAGACCUUGUUUUUAUUCAAUAAGCAAAUCUGUUGGUUUUCUGGACAAAGAACUUGCUGCUAGUGGGUUUACUAGAAAAGAGCAAGAUGAUAUGGACAAGUUCGUCAAGAAGAAAAGGACCAGGAUAUAUGUUAUGAUGAUGAAGAAGAUAGUGCUGGAAGGGAUGAAACAAUCAUGAGUGAUGUUGACUCUUUGCAGAAGACCUGCAGAAGUGCUAUUUCGCCUAUUUGAGAAGUACAUGGCCUCUGAUUGAGUUGAAAAAAAUAUACAUACUCUGAUCAUUUUCUAAAUGGUCCAAAGUACAAUGGGCGUUUUGAAAUUUCACUUUCUUAGCGAUGCCUGCGUUACAUGACAUGACUGCCAACCCCGAUGGGAAUAAAACCUUACUCCUAGUUUUGUUGAUUUUCCGCUUGAUAUUAGCAGACUUUAAUGAGACCUGUUAUUGUUGAAUGAUUGAUUGAA